Molecule: ribosomal RNA, 485 nt
Filed under: uncultured bacterium
Lineage: Bacteria
Description: partial 16S ribosomal RNA
Rfam family: Bacterial small subunit ribosomal RNA
Source: RNAcentral
GAUGAACGCUGGCGGCGUGCCUAAUACAUGCAAGUCGAGCGGAAAGGCCUCUUCGGAGGUACUCGAGCGGCGGACGGCUGAGUAACACGUAGGAAUGUACCCCAAAGUGAGGGAUAACUGCUCGAAAGAGUAGCUAAUACCGUAUGUGAUCCACGGAUUAAAGCUUUAUGCGCUUUGGGAACAGCCUGCGUAUGAUUAGUUAGUUGGUGAGGUAAUGGCUCACCAAGACGAUGAUCAUUAGCUGGUCUGAGAGGAUGAUCAGCCAGACUGGGACUGAGACACGGCCCAGACUCCUACGGGAGGCAGCAGUAGGGAAUCUUCCGCAAUGGGCGAAAGCCUGACGGAGCAACGCCGCGUGAGUGAUGAAGGUUUUCGGAUCGUAAAGCUCUGUUGCCAGGGAAGAACGUUUUCUAGAGUAACUGCUAGGAAAGUGACGGUACCUGAGAAGAAAGCCCCGGCUAACUACGUGCCAGCCGCCGCCGUAA